AACGGGGAGGAGCCCAGAGCCUGAAUCAGCAUGUGUGUUAGUGGAAGCGUCUGGAAAGGCGCGCGAUACAGGGUGACAGCCCCGUACACAAAAGCGCAUGUGCUGUGAGCUCGAUGAGUAGGGCGGGACACGUGGUAUCCUGUCUGAAUAUGGGGGGACCAUCCUCCAAGGCUAAAUACUCCUGACUGACCGAUAGUGAACCAGUACCGUGAGGGAAAGGCGAAAAGAACCCCGGCGAGGGGAGUGAAAAAGAACCUGAAACCGUGUACGUACAAGCAGUGGGAGCCCCACCACUAAGCCAGUGGUGAACUCCACAUACGCAUCCUUUGCUGAGGAUACGGUUAACGGAGCGCAAGCGACGUUCAACCGCAAAAGAAGCAGAGGGGGCUUAGUGGUGGGGUGACUGCGUACCUUUUGUAUAAUGGGUCAGCGACUUAUAUUCUGUAGCAAGGUUAACCGAAUAGGGGAGCCGGAGGGAAACCGAGUCUUAAUUGGGCGUUAAGUUGCAGGGUAUAGACCCGAAACCCGGUGAUCUAGCCAUGGGCAGGUUGAAGGUUGGGUAACACUAACUGGAGGACCGAACCGACUAAUG
Molecule: ribosomal RNA, 592 nt
Filed under: Salmonella enterica subsp. enterica serovar Minnesota
Lineage: Bacteria; Pseudomonadati; Pseudomonadota; Gammaproteobacteria; Enterobacterales; Enterobacteriaceae
Description: partial 23S ribosomal RNA
Rfam family: Bacterial large subunit ribosomal RNA
Source: RNAcentral